RNAcentral lists this ribosomal RNA (300 nucleotides) under uncultured Desulfurococcus sp. RNAcentral describes it as "bacterial SSU rRNA". It matches the Rfam family "Bacterial small subunit ribosomal RNA", at positions 494 to 795 of the family's 1533-position model. Lineage: Archaea; Thermoproteati; Thermoproteota; Thermoprotei; Desulfurococcales; Desulfurococcaceae. The record is from RNAcentral.
CGGAACGAGGUGCGAGGAGCCUCGUUAAUAGGUGGGGGGUAAGAGUUGUCGGGAUUUAAUGGGCGUAAAUGAUGGGUAGGGGGAUAGUUAAGUGAGAUGUGAAAUUCCCGGGCUUAACUUGGGAGCUGCAUUUCAAACUGGGUAUCUAGAGUGCGGGAGAGGAGAGUGGAAUUCCUAGUGUAGCGGUGAAAUGCGUAGAGAUUAGGAAGAACACCAGUGGCGAAGGCGACUCUCUGGACCGUAACUGACGCUGAGGCAUGAAAGCGUGGGGAGCAAACAGGAUUAGAUACCCCUGUAGUC